This is a small nuclear RNA of Jaculus jaculus (lesser Egyptian jerboa), 106 nucleotides long. The record is from Ensembl. NCBI's taxonomy places the organism in Eukaryota, Metazoa, Chordata, Mammalia, Rodentia, Dipodidae.
GUGAGCAUUCAGCAACAUACAGAGUAAAACUGGAAUAAUAGAGAAGAUAAGCAUGCCUCCUGCAAAAAAGGAUGACAGGCAAAUUUGCUAAGUGUUCCAUAUUAGU